Molecule: small RNA, 94 nt
Filed under: Chryseobacterium sp. RU37D
Lineage: Bacteria; Pseudomonadati; Bacteroidota; Flavobacteriia; Flavobacteriales; Weeksellaceae
Description: Flavo-1 RNA
Rfam family: Flavo-1 RNA
Source: Rfam by way of RNAcentral
ACAUAGUCCCGAUAGGAACGACAUCCUUUUUCGUUGCGGCUGGAGCGAAGCGGAAGCCGUAACGAAAAAGAUAUAGUGGAUAGCGGGAAAUAGC